AUGAACGCUGGCGGCGUGCCUAAUACCUGCAAGUCGAGCGAACGGACGAGAAGCUUGCUUCUCUGAUGUUAGCGGCGGACGGGUGAGUAACACGUGGAUAACCUACCUAUAAGACUGGGAUAACUUCGGGAAACCGGAGCUAAUACCGGAUAAUAUUUUGAACCGCAUGGUUCAAAAGUGAAAGACGGUCUUGCUGUCACUUAUAGAUGGAUCCGCGCUGCAUUAGCUAGUUGGUAAGGUAACGGCUUACCAAGGCAACGAUGCAUAGCCGACCUGAGAGGGUGAUCGGCCACACUGGAACUUAGACACGGUCCAGACUCCUACGGGAGGCAGCAGUAGGGAAUCUUCCGCAAUGGGCGAAAGCCUGACGGAGCAACGCCGCGUGAGUGAUGAAGGUCUUCGGAUCGUAAAACUCUGUUAUUAGGGAAGAACAUAUGUGUAAGUAACUGUGCACAUCUUGACGGUACCUAAUCAGAAAGCCACGGCUAACUACGUG
This 496-nucleotide ribosomal RNA is filed under the name uncultured bacterium. RNAcentral describes it as "partial 16S ribosomal RNA". It matches the Rfam family "Bacterial small subunit ribosomal RNA", at positions 29 to 507 of the family's 1533-position model. The record is from RNAcentral.